Panicum virgatum (switchgrass) is the source of this 4292-nucleotide long non-coding RNA. RefSeq lists it as uncharacterized. Lineage: Eukaryota; Viridiplantae; Streptophyta; Magnoliopsida; Poales; Poaceae. The transcript is spliced from 8 exons. The record is from RefSeq and is a predicted model, not a curated record.
AUGUUUAGACUCCCCAUAUUCCCCAACCCUAAUCGCUCCUCUUCUUCCGGCUCCCAACCCCACUCCGGCGAGGGAUGCCCACUGCACAGCACCUGCUCGAUGGAAUGCCUGACGGGAUGCGUUGCUUAACGCAUGCUCCUAUCAGCAACGGAAUCAGUCUGAAGCUAGGAGCUAGUGCUAUGCCGCUCGCUAUGAUUGAUACUGAAGUUCAAUCCCUGGCCCCAUGCCAUGCUCGUUGCCCCCGUUUCAGUUGUUUGCUCCACGGGUGUAGCGGUGGGACCGCGUCGAGUACUCCUUGACAAGCCUGGAGAAUUCAGAGUUCUCGUUCUUCAGCAAUUUCGACGGCGUGUCGUAUUCAACGAUCCUUCCUUCUCAUCAUAAAAUAGUAUGGAUUUUAAUAUCACUGCAGCUAGGUCCUCCAGUAACAUGCAGCGGACUGGUGUUUGUUCAUUGAAGCUGAGUCUUACCUUCACUGAAGACAAGGAUGAGGUCGCUGUCAACAACCGUGUGAAUUCUGUGCGCUACUGUCAACACUGUGCAGUCCCCAAACUCUUGGCGGAUGGUUUGUUGGAUAAUUGCAUCGGUGGAGGAGUCGACUGAAGCAGUUGCCUCGUCGAGUACAAGGAUGUUGCUUCUCUUUAGCAGAACCCUACCAAGGCAAAACAGCUGCCUCUGGCCCACACUCCAGUUUUCCCCAUUCUCCACAACUGCAGGGGUUAUCCCAUUUGAUUAUAGCCUUGUCGAAGAUAUCCUUACCUACAGGCUAUGAUGUCAACAUUGUCGAUUCCGAUUGUGCCUUCCCGUGGUUCAACGAUCCGGAAAAGUGCUUGGAUAAAAGUUGACUUUCCACUACCGGCCAUAACUCAUGAUUCUUUUUCACAUACCUCCAAGCAUCUUAUAUUGAUAGCUCCAUCUUGCGGCCAGCUAUUUGGUGGGCGGCAGUAGUCAACUACUAGAGGAGCCUCACUAGGUAUCCUUGAAUACUGCAGUAUUCUUUCUACUGAUAUCAUUUUGUUCUCUAUUCUGCUAAUGUUCCAAAUCAUAGACGUCAACUGACUGUUGAGGUUCAAUGCAUAAGUCACUGCAAGUCCAGCAAUGCCUGCAUUUAUAAUUAUAUUAGUUUGAAAAUCACUAAACAUAGGACAUAUUGAGUAUUCUGUAAUCACCAAGAGUUAUGGAUAUAUAUACAUCUUACUUGGGUUCAAUAAACCAUGAGGAAGGCUGACUAGCAGAAUCAAACAAACCGCAAAGACAAGAGUGGAUAGCAUGGUUAGCCUGAGAGAGAGCCACUCCAUGGAACCGAUGUUAUGGAACCAUGGUCUGGAGUGAUUGUCCAAAAGACUAAGGUUUGCUUUUCUGAAACGAUCUUUUUGUCCAUAUGCUCUAAUACUCGGCGCUCCGGAAAGUGACUCCGCAAAAUGGUGUAGGAUUGGAGCCCUUUGGAUUUUGUACAAACGAGCCAGCUCUCUUGCUGCCGGUAUUUGGUAGCGCUGCAUAUUGUACAAAUAGGUGUGGAGUCAAAGAAGGACAUUGGGGCACGCAGGAUGCACCGGGUCAUGUUCUUGAACAGUUUUUCUGAUGUUAGCAGACCGAUUAGUGAUGUGAGCAUGGAGCGGGCGAAGAUACAUAAUGCACUUCCCAUAGAUAGUGCUAUAUACACAGAGAAAAGGAGGCCUAAUCCGACUGUGGGGUUGGUUGCAGAUGAUGGAGGGGAUGCCCAUGCCAUCCAAUAGUUGCUUGCUACCUGAAAUAUUUGGAAUAAUAACUGUGCAGCGAUUGUUAUUGGAACUAAAGCACCACCAUGAACUGUCCUCAGGUACACCCAGUAAACUUUCUUGCCAAUGCCUCCCUUUUCUCUCUCCUCAUCUUGUGUUAACCUCCCUUUCUCAUUGGUUUCGUGCGAGACAUCGCGUGCUGGCUCUUGUUCUGUUAUGCCUUGAAGCUGAUCAUCUGCUCCAUUUUCUGCAUCGAGUUCAUCUUCUCUAUAUGCUGAUUUCUGGUUAUCAGAGGAUAUUCUGCUGGAGCUCUCAGCACUUACGACAGAUUCUAGAGCCUGGCUAUGGGCUCCGACUAUAGCGUCGAAUCCUAUAUUCCUUUCAAGGAGUUCAUCAAAUUUCCCUUUCUGCACAAUCUUUCCACCCUGCAUCACCUGUGCUUGUAUCCACAUGAUCAGUUACUUGGCAUCUUUACCUUUGGUCUUUGGACAUAAUUAGCUAAACAAAAAAGUAUUUUUGGCACCUACCAGUAUAAGAUCUGCAGCUGGAAGAAAUUCAACUUGGUGGGUCACAUACAGUACUGUUUUGUCUUUGAGGAUUCCCAUUACACAAUCCUGCAUGAUCCAAUUAUUUAUUUACUUAGAAUAUGUACUGACCAACUGCUGUCCUAAAAGUCCUAAAUGGUGAACAUAUGAAAUUCACAGUACAUAAUUGAAAUAUAUUUAUGCAUUUCUUGGAACUGCAAAACAAACCUUGAAAAUGUGACUUCCAGUGUGAGCAUCUACUGCACUAAAAGGAUCAUCAAAGAGGUAAAUAUCAGCGUCCUCGUAUAUUGACCUUGCAAUCUGAAUUCUCUGCUUCUGGCCACCGCUCAUGUUAAUUCCUCUUUCACCAAUCUCAGUGAAAUCUCCAUUCGCAAACAUUUCAAUAUCUUUAGUCAGUGUGCAAGCUUGUAUUAUCCUUUCAUACUUUUCCUUGUCAUAUGGAUUUCCGAAUAGAAUGUUGUCCCUGAUAUUCCCAGACAGGAUCCAGGCUGUUUGAGGAACAUAUGCUUUGCUCCCGCUGACCUUGACAGUCCCCUCUUGCUUUGGCAUCUCCCCAAGUAUGCAUGACAAUAGACUGGAUUUUCCAGAGCCGACCAUCCCGCAGAUAGCUACUUUCAUCCCUCUCUUUACUUUUAACUCUACAUCAAUUAGAGUCGGAGAAGUGGUCUCAAGUUCCCAGCUGAAUGUUCCUUGAUUGAUCUCCACAGCAUAGCACGUGUUGCUUAUUGGCACUUGUGUAACUGCAUCACAUUUCAAUUCUUCUUCUUGUAGGUACUUUGCUACUCUAUCUACUGAAACUUUCCCUUGAGCAAACACUGAAAGCAAGUCAGGAAGUGUGAAGAUUGGAUCUUGUAGCAUACGGAAUGUUGCUAGGGCAGACAAAACACUACCAGCAGUUAGAGGAAUCCCCAUCAAUAUGCAUGAGCCAAAUGUUACGGAGGAUAUGAAUGCAGGUGCCCCCCAAAACACAAGUGUUGUCAGAGCUGACAACCUCACAGAUCUCCAUAGCCACUUGUACUCCUCACUUCGUAAAGCUUCUAUCUUUUGAAGGAAUUGACUGGAUAUACUUAUGAUGAAUACCAGUUGCAUCAAUGCAAAAGCGCCCAUCCAGAAGCAAGGGAUAUAUAAUUUGGGGCUUACUGGAGGAAUUGUGGAGCAAGCCACCGUGGUGGAGCCUCCCGUGCGUCCGACUGGGAGUCGUCAUGGGAACAAAGUAAGCCCAGGCUCCCUGUGUCCAUGGCAUUGUGUGCCACCGUUGCGACUAGAGGGAGAGGGAGGGAGAGAGAGAGAGGAAGAGACUCUUUGUGACAGAGGUUGAAUAUAAAUAGAGACUGGAGGAGGACCCAAUGGCGGUAAGUCAAGUCACAUUUAAAAAAAAAUGCUGCCACUUCUAUUUGUGCUACUUUAUCAUAAAAAAGAGCAGGAGUCUAGUUUCUGGGAAAUUUCCUCCUCCCCAAGUUUCCAUGACCCUGCUGAUCAUGGGAUUAUUGUUCUGAUAAAUCCUGGUGCGGAUGACGGCGACAUGCACUGACACGGACACUGACACUAUAUGGCGGCUAAUACCUAAUAUAUACCAAGGCACUGCCUCCAACGGCCAAACGCAUAUGGACAAUAUCUGGAGCAUUCCAGGAAUGUUCAUUGCCCGUGCUAUAAUCUGCAGCCGCGACCAUCGCCAGCGCUGCGAGCAACGACUUUUAGGAGAACAGAGACAAGGGAUUCGGUGAGGUGCAUGCUGCGUUGGCACUUCCCACCUACUCGUCAAUUGUUGUUUGUGACGACCAGCGCUGGUCAUGCAUGGUCGUGCCAUGCUCGUCAAAGUUAAUGUAUACUAUAUAAUGUGAAAAUAUCUCUAAUGGAACUUUAGAGGUAAAAGCUUAAAAAUCUCUUAUUUGUUUGGUGGGACUGGAAGUUUUAAUGGAUGCCGAAUUGGAGUUCGGAUGGCCAACUCCCAUCGUAGAAUUGUAGUGGGAUGAGCAUUGUGUUUUAAGUUAAAGAUCAUCACAAUAGUUCUAUCUUGACAUAUGAUACGAUU